CUACGGGUUGCACCAGUGAGGAAUAUUGCACAAUGGAGGGAACCCUGAUGCAGCAACGCCGCGUGGAGGAUGACGCAUUUCGGUGUGUAAACUCCUUUUAUAUGUCAAGAAAAUGACGGUAGCAUAUGAAUAAGCACCGGCUAACUCCGUGCCAGCAGCCGCAGUAAUACGGAGGGUGCAAGCGUUACUCGGAAUCACUGGGCGUAAAGGACGCGUAGGCGGGUUGGAAAGUCAGGUGUGAAAUCCUACAGCUUGACUGUAGAACUGCACUUGAAACUUCUAAUCUAGAGUAUGGGAGGGGGAGAUGGAAUUAGUGGUGUAGGGGUAAAAUCCGUAGAUAUCACUAGGAAUACCUAAAGCGAAGGCGAUCUCCUGGAACAUUACUGACGCUAAGGCGUGAAAGCGUGGGGAGCAAACAGGAUUAGAUACCCUAGUAGUC
Molecule: ribosomal RNA, 439 nt
Filed under: uncultured bacterium
Lineage: Bacteria
Description: partial 16S ribosomal RNA
Rfam family: Bacterial small subunit ribosomal RNA
Source: RNAcentral